GAAGAGUCUUCCAUUGGACCUGCAUCACAGCAUCAGUAGCCUUCCCAAGACAAAAGAUGAAGACGGUUGCGGUGGCGUUGUUGGUUGCUGUAAUUGUGGUUGUUGAAGUUCCAUUCGGAUACACAUUUCCAUCUGCAGUUCCUUCCUUUCUUUGGUCACCGCAUCAUUAUGGAGUUGCCUCAAGUGAAGCUGUCAAUUACAGAACCCUUUCACUGAAGGAUUUAGUUAAGUCCGUUAUGGCUGAGGGUGGUUGGUCGGACUUGCUGUGCUCAGGAAAAGAAGGUGGACAGCAUCUGGAUCUUGCACUUGUUUUUGUUGGGAAAGAGUUGCAAUCUGUGGAUAUUUCUAGACCCAAAAAUGCCAAUUCGGAGCUUGUGGACUUGCUGAAGGCCUCUGUUGCAAAGUCCAAUUUUUCCCUGGCAUUCCCCUACAUUGAUGCAUCAGAGGAGAGAGAAUCAGUGGAAAGCUCCUUGAUUUCAGAAUUUACAAACACGUGUGGGCAUGGUCUUGAGGCCAGCAACAUUGCUUUCUCGCAAUCAUGCUCUGUAGAGGGUGGAAGUUUUGAGAAGCUCACUGAUGUCCACUCAGUUCAGAACUAUCUGCUAUCAAGGAUCACUAAACAAUCCAAGGGGCAGCCAACUUUGAUUGUUCUCUGCGAUCAAGAUCAUCGAACCCUGGGAAGAGCUGAAGAAAAAACCUCUGAAGGACAAGUUUUAUCUCAACUUCUCAGUUAUGUGGAGAAUCUGGGAGCAAAAUACACCGCACUCUAUGUGUCAGAUCCUUUUAGGUCAAUUCAGUUCCCCUCUCAUUGGGAAGUAGAAAGGUUUCUUACUGAAGGUACUGGAAAUAAAUCAGUCGAUGGCUGUGAUGGAGUUUGCCGAAUUAAAUCCUCAUUUUUGGAGGGCAUAUUUGUGGCAAUUGUCUUGCUUAUAAUUUUAAUAUCUGGCCUUUGCUGCAUGAUGGGAAUUGAUACUCCAACAAGGUUUGAGGCCCCUACAGAUUAGAGGUUGUGGAAGAUAAAUUCAUAUUCUGAGUUGCUUUGAUUGCAGUAAUGUGAAUGUAUCUUUAUGGUAUGCAUAACCCUGUAAUUUUUGUUUAUUUGUCACACAACACUUGCUUGUAUCAGCAGUAUAGAGUGUUACAUUCCAAUAAUGUUAUGGUCAUUCUUGAUUUUUUUUGGUUAUGUAUUCUUCUGCACGUACCAAGUUUCGGUUACGUGCCCUGGUUAUUCUUCAGUUCUG
This 1241-nucleotide unclassified non-coding RNA is filed under the name Hevea brasiliensis (rubber tree). The record is from RNAcentral. Lineage: Eukaryota; Viridiplantae; Streptophyta; Magnoliopsida; Malpighiales; Euphorbiaceae.